This 253-nucleotide ribosomal RNA is filed under the name uncultured bacterium. RNAcentral's name for it is "partial 16S ribosomal RNA". It matches the Rfam family "Bacterial small subunit ribosomal RNA", at positions 524 to 776 of the family's 1533-position model. The record is from RNAcentral.
UACGUAGGUGGCAAGCGUUGUCCGGAAUUAUUGGGCGUAAAGCGCUCGCAGGCGGUUUCUUAAGUCUGAUGUGAAAGCCCACGGCUCAACCGUGGAGGGUCAUUGGAAACUGGGAGACUUGAGUGCAGAAGAGGAGAGUGGAAUUCCACGUGUAGCGGUGAAAUGCGUAGAGAUGUGGAGGAACACCAGUGGCGAAGGCGACUCUCUGGUCUGUAACUGACGCUGAGGAGCGAAAGCGUGGGGAGCAAACAGG